This is a non-coding RNA of Picea glauca (white spruce), 118 nucleotides long. NCBI's taxonomy places the organism in Eukaryota, Viridiplantae, Streptophyta, Pinopsida, Pinales, Pinaceae. The record is from Rfam.
GCCUACAAACAUAGCGCUAAUGCUCCAGAUCCCAUUAGAAAUUUUUAGUUAAGUGCGCUUAGGCUAGAGUAGUAUUGGGAUGAGUGAUCGUCAGGGAAGUCCUAGUGUUUUACAUGCC